This 399-nucleotide ribosomal RNA is filed under the name uncultured bacterium. RNAcentral describes it as "partial 16S ribosomal RNA". It matches the Rfam family "Bacterial small subunit ribosomal RNA", at positions 338 to 734 of the family's 1533-position model. The record is from RNAcentral.
CCUACGGGAGGCAGCAGUGAGGAAUAUUGGUCAAUGGGCGCGAGCCUGAACCAGCCAUGUAGCGUGAAUGAUGACUGCCCUACGGGUUGUAAACUUCUUUUAUAAAGGAAUAAAGUGAGGCACGUGUGCCUUUUUGUAUGUACUUUACGAAUAAGGAUCGGAUAACUCCGUGCCAGCAGCCGCGGUAAUACGGAGGAUCCGAGCGUUAUCCGGAUUUAUUGGGUUUAAAGGGAGCGUAGAUGGGUUGUUAAGUCAGUUGUGAAAGUUUGGGGCUCGACCGUAAAAUUGCAAUUGAUACUGGCAGGCUUGAGUCCUGUUGAGGGGGGCGGAAUUCGUGGUGUAGCGGUGAAAUGCUUAGAUAUCACGAAGAAUACCGAUUGCGAAGGCAGCCUACUAAAC